This 659-nucleotide ribosomal RNA is filed under the name uncultured Fusobacterium sp. RNAcentral's name for it is "bacterial SSU rRNA". It matches the Rfam family "Bacterial small subunit ribosomal RNA", at positions 195 to 871 of the family's 1533-position model. Lineage: Bacteria; Fusobacteriati; Fusobacteriota; Fusobacteriia; Fusobacteriales; Fusobacteriaceae. The record is from RNAcentral.
AGAUUAUGAAAGCUAUAUGCGCUGUGAGAGAGCUUUGCGUCCCAUUAGCUAGUUGGAGAGGUAACGGCUCACCAAGGCGAUGAUGGGUAGCCGGCCUGAGAGGGUGAACGGCCACAAGGGGACUGAGACACGGCCCUUACUCCUACGGGAGGCAGCAGUGGGGAAUAUUGGACAAUGGACCAAAAGUCUGAUCCAGCAAUUCUGUGUGCACGAUGACGUUUUUCGGAAUGUAAAGUGCUUUCAGUUGGGAAGAAAAAAAUGACGGUACCAACAGAAGAAGUGACGGCUAAAUACGUGCCAGCAGCCGCGGUAAUACGUAUGUCACAAGCGUUAUCCGGAUUUAUUGGGCGUAAAGCGCGUCUAGGUGGUUAUGUAAGUCUGAUGUGAAAAUGCAGGGCUCAACUCUGUAUUGUCGUUGGAAACUGCAUGACUAGAGUACUGGAGAGGUAAGCGGAACUACAAGUGUAGAGGUGAAAUUCGUAGAUAUUUGUAGGAAUGCCGAUGGGGAAGCCAGCUUACUGGACAGAUACUGACGGUAAAGCGCGAAAGCGUGGGCAGCAAACAGGAUUAGAUACCCUGGUAGUCCACGCCGUAAACGAUGAUUACUAGGUGUUGGGCGGUCGAACCUCAGCGCCCAAGCUAACGCGAUAAGUAAUCCG